CAGUGUUCUCAUUCCUUCCGCCUAAGCAAACCGCUUCAGGAACUUUGGCAUCUCGAUGACAUUUGAUUCAUGCCAGGGAACAACAAGCGGUGCAUUUACAUAUCAGAAAGGUUUAUAAGAAUGAAGACAAAUAAUUGGAAUAUAACUUUGGGAUGUCUACCUCUGAGAUGAUAUAGAGCUGAGUUUACCGCUCAUCCUAACCCUUCUUCGAUCUUUACACCACUGGAAGGACAUGAAGCGAUGCUUCCAAAAAGAUACUGCCAAAGAAACAGAGAGGCAGGCAGUCGGAGUUCCAAGAGCUGCCAGUCAGUUGGACGUGAACAAAGCUUUGCAUUUCUAUAUACCACCUCCCGGCUGAGAAUGGUACAGGACGGACAUUGAAAUUACUCCUGGAAAAGAAAAUUACAUUUGGCCUAAGAGCACUAAGAAUACUUUCCAACUGGACUCCUUGGCUCUGAAAAUGCUAAGUCUGCCAUUCCACCACCCCCAGUACAUUGUUUUACAAUAAACGACACCAAAGUCAACA
RNAcentral lists this long non-coding RNA (526 nucleotides) under Pogona vitticeps (central bearded dragon). Its description in RNAcentral is "lncRNA (ENSPVIG00000005260.1)". The record is from RNAcentral. Lineage: Eukaryota; Metazoa; Chordata; Lepidosauria; Squamata; Agamidae.